UUGGCUUAGAAGCAGCCAUCAUUUAAAGAAAGCGUAAUAGCUCACUGGUCGAGUCGGCCUGCGCGGAAGAUGUAACGGGGCUAAACCAUGCACCGAAGCUGCGGCAGCGACACUAUGUGUUGUUGGGUAGGGGAGCGUUCUGUAAGCCUGUGAAGGUGUACUGUGAGGUAUGCUGGAGGUAUCAGAAGUGCGAAUGCUGACAUAAGUAACGAUAAAGCGGGUGAAAAGCCCGCUCGCCGGAAGACCAAGGGUUCCUGUCCAACGUUAAUCGGGGCAGGGU
RNAcentral lists this ribosomal RNA (280 nucleotides) under Escherichia coli. Its description in RNAcentral is "partial 23S ribosomal RNA". It matches the Rfam family "Bacterial large subunit ribosomal RNA", at positions 1101 to 1380 of the family's 2925-position model. Lineage: Bacteria; Pseudomonadati; Pseudomonadota; Gammaproteobacteria; Enterobacterales; Enterobacteriaceae. The record is from RNAcentral.